UCCUUAGAUGUUCUGGGCUGCACGCGUGUUACAAUCGGGAGUACAACAAGAUUGCAAAUCCUAGUGGAUGAGUGGUUCUUCGAAAUUUUCUGAAGACUGGGAUAGUUGAUUGAAAUUAUUCAACUCGAACGAGGAAUUCCUUGUAAUUGUAAUUCAUUAUAUUGUAAUGAAUACGUCCCUGCCCUUUGUACACACCGCCCGUCGCUCCUACCGAUUGAACGAUCCGGUGAAUUAUUUGGAGUAGCUCUGGAAGUUGCAGAACUUCCUAUGUCACGAAAUUUUGUAAACCUUAUCGUUUAGAGGAAGGAAAAGUCGUAACA
RNAcentral lists this ribosomal RNA (320 nucleotides) under uncultured eukaryote. RNAcentral's name for it is "partial 18S ribosomal RNA". It matches the Rfam family "Eukaryotic small subunit ribosomal RNA", at positions 1470 to 1796 of the family's 1831-position model. The record is from RNAcentral.